Molecule: long non-coding RNA, 358 nt
Filed under: Gallus gallus (chicken)
Lineage: Eukaryota; Metazoa; Chordata; Aves; Galliformes; Phasianidae
Source: RNAcentral
CUGAUCCCUCCCUACUUCCUGAUCUCCAUCAAAGAAUAUUGAUACAAGCCUUGAAACCAACCCCUCUCUCCUGAACUGACAUGCUAGUGGCCAAGCUGACGGUCAUCAUAGGUGCUGUAUCUCUUCACAUGGAUUCGGCGUACUCGGUCACGAAGUUCAAAACCAUCAUCAUCCUCACUAUGAGAGGCCUGGCUUCGGCUCCUGCUGGUUGCUUCCAGCAGAGAGUUAUCAGGAACUCGUGGUGUUUCAUACAGUAAGACGUUUAGAGUUUCCUCAUAAAUACGUGCCUCAGGGAAUUCAACCUUGGUUUGCUUCUUCUCUGUGGCAUACACUAUAGAGGUACAACAGACUUCAGCAA